Molecule: ribosomal RNA, 440 nt
Filed under: uncultured cyanobacterium
Lineage: Bacteria; Bacillati; Cyanobacteriota
Description: bacterial SSU rRNA
Rfam family: Bacterial small subunit ribosomal RNA
Source: RNAcentral
AGAGUUUGAUCCUGGCUCAGGAUGAACGCUGGCGGUCUGCUUAACACAUGCAAGUCGAACGGAAUCUUUCGGGAUUUAGUGGCGGACGGGUGAGUAACGCGUGAGAAUCUGCCUUCAGGUUCGGGACAACAGUUGGAAACGGCUGCUAAUACCGGAUGUGCCGAGAGGUGAAAGCUUAAGUGCCUGGAGAUGAGCUCGCGUCUGAUUAGCUAGUAGGAGUGGUAACGGCACCCCUAGGCGACGAUCAGUAGCUGGUCUGAGAGGAUGAUCAGCCACACUGGGACUGAGACACGGCCCAGACUCCUACGGGAGGCAGCAGUGGGGAAUUUUCCGCAAUGGGCGCAAGCCUGACGGAGCAAGACCGCGUGAGGGAAGAAGGUCUGUGGAUUGUAAACCUCUUUUGAUCGGGAAGAAGACAGUGACGGUACCGAUCGAAUCAG